GCGGGCGUAGUUCAAUGGUAGAACUCCAGCCUUCCAAGCUGGCCGUGCGGGUUCGAUUCCCGUCGCCCGCUCCA
This 74-nucleotide transfer RNA is filed under the name Nocardiopsis gilva. RNAcentral describes it as "tRNA-Gly(tcc)". It matches the Rfam family "tRNA". Rfam says of the family: Transfer RNA (tRNA) molecules are approximately 80 nucleotides in length. Their secondary structure includes four short double-helical elements and three loops (D, anti-codon, and T loops). The record is from RNAcentral. RNAcentral also lists the same sequence under 3 other names. Lineage: Bacteria; Bacillati; Actinomycetota; Actinomycetes; Streptosporangiales; Nocardiopsidaceae.